This 332-nucleotide unclassified non-coding RNA is filed under the name soil metagenome. Its description in RNAcentral is "partial contains 5.8S ribosomal RNA, internal transcribed spacer 2, and large subunit ribosomal RNA". The stretch from base 1 to 120 matches the Rfam family "5.8S ribosomal RNA", at positions 35 to 154 of the family's 154-position model. The record is from RNAcentral.
GAUGAAGAACGCAGCGAAAUGCGAUAAGUAGUGUGAAUUGCAGAAUUCAGUGAAUCAUCGAAUCUUUGAACGCACAUUGCGCCCUUUGGUAUUCCUUAGGGCAUGCCUGUUCGAGCGUCAUUUAAACCUUCAAGCUAAGCUUGGUGUUGGGUGACUGUCCGCUUCACGGCGGACUCGCCUCAAAAUUAUUGGCGGCCGGUAUAUUGGCUUCGAGCGCAGCAGAAACGCGAACUCGGGCCCGUCGUAUUGGCUCCCAGAAGCUAUCUUCACGAUUUUGACCUCGGAUCAGGUAGGGAUACCCGCUGAACUUAAGCAUAUCAAUAAGCGGAGGA